AGGACGAACGCUGGCGGCGUGCUUAACACAUGCAAGUCGAACGAGGUGCUUGCACCUAGUGGCGAACGGGUGAGUAACACGUGAGCAACCUGCCCUUGGCUCUGGGAUAGCCUCCGGAAACGGGGAUUAAUACCGGACAUGACCUUCUCCUGCAUGGGGGAGGGUGGAAAGUUUUUCGGCCAGGGAGGGGCUCGCGGCCUAUCAGCUUGUUGGAGGGGUAACGGCCCACCAAGGCGACGACGGGUAGCCGGCCUGAGAGGGCGACCGGCCACACUGGGACUGAGACACGGCCCAGACUCCUACGGGAGGCAGCAGUGGGGAAUAUUGCACAAUGGGGGAAACCCUGAUGCAGCGACGCCGCGUGCGGGAUGAAGGCCUUCGGGUUGUAAACCGCUUUCAGCAGGGACGAAUUUAAGACGGUACCUGCAGAAGAAGCGCCGGCUAACUACGUGCCAGCAGCCGC
This 463-nucleotide ribosomal RNA is filed under the name uncultured bacterium. RNAcentral's name for it is "SSU rRNA". It matches the Rfam family "Bacterial small subunit ribosomal RNA", at positions 26 to 518 of the family's 1533-position model. The record is from RNAcentral.